Molecule: ribosomal RNA, 582 nt
Filed under: uncultured crenarchaeote
Lineage: Archaea; Thermoproteati; Thermoproteota
Description: bacterial SSU rRNA
Rfam family: Archaeal small subunit ribosomal RNA
Source: RNAcentral
GCCGGGGAACCUUACCGGGGGGGCGAUCAGCAUGAAAUGAGACGCCCAGAUUUGAAGGUCUUGCUUGGAUCAAAGCUGAGAGGAGGUGCAUUGGCCGUCCGCCAGUUCCGUGCCAGUGAGGUGUCCUGUUAAGUCAGGGCAACGAUCGAGACCCAGCACCCACUAAGUUGCUACUAAGGAAGUUUUCCAAGGGGCACUCUAGUGGGACUGCCGUCGAUAAGAUCGGAGGAAGGAUGCGGGCCACCGGCAGGUCAAGUAUGCCCCGAAUCCCCCGGGCUACACGCGAGCUGCAAUUGGCAAGGGACAAUGGGUUCCGACCUUGUGAAAGGAAGGCAAUCCCGAAACCCUGCCUCAAUUGGGAUCGAAGGCUGAAACUCGCCUUCGUGAACAUGGAUUAGCCUAUUAAUCGCGCGUCAUCAUUCGCGCGGUGAAUACUCCCCGCUCCUUGCACACAACCGCCCGUCGCUCCAUCCGAGUGGGGUUUGGGUGAGGCGUGGUCUUUUUGGCUGCGUCAAUCUGAUUCCGCAAGAGGGAGAAGUCGUAACCAGGUAAGCCUUAAUCCCGCGGGGAACGUCCUUUUUC